Molecule: ribosomal RNA, 378 nt
Filed under: uncultured eukaryote
Lineage: Eukaryota
Description: partial 18S ribosomal RNA
Rfam family: Eukaryotic small subunit ribosomal RNA
Source: RNAcentral
CAAUAGCGUAUAUUUAAGUUGUUGCAGUUAAAAAGCUCGUAGUUGGAUUUCGGGUGGGACGCAGCGGUCUCGCAUUGCGUUUGUACUGCUGCAGCCCUCCUUCUUGCCGGGGGCGGCCUCUCGGACUUCACUGUCUGGGGGUCAGAAUCGGCGAUGUUACUUUGAGUAAAUUAGAGUGUUCAAAGCAAGCUUACGCUCUGAAUAUAAUAGCAUGGGAUAACACGACAGGACUCUGGCCUAUCGUGUUGGUCUAUAGGACCAGAGUAAUGAUUAAGAGGGACAGUCGGGGGCAUUCGUAUUCCGUUGUCAGAGGUGAAAUUCUUGGAUUUACGGAAGACGAACAUCUGCGAAAGCAUUUGCCAAGGAUGUNUUCAUNGA